This 3300-nucleotide long non-coding RNA is filed under the name Homo sapiens (human). RNAcentral's name for it is "non-protein coding lnc-NTF3-3:11". Lineage: Eukaryota; Metazoa; Chordata; Mammalia; Primates; Hominidae. The record is from RNAcentral.
CAGAUGCUUUGCAGGACAACAGAAGUGGGAUCAUGGGGACCUCUCUGUGGGUUCACCCGGUCCUGUUGUGCUUGACCCCGGCCCUGAGUCAGUCACCACUCCCCAUGGCCUUCAUGCCUUACCUGGACAGUGAGAGGAUCAGAUGAGCGAAGAGGUUCCACAGUCUGAGUGCUCGGGAGAAUGACCUGGGAGUCUUUUAAAAAUUCAGUUUCCUUGGCUUCUUAUCCUGAAAAUUCAGUCAGUAGACAAGGAGCACAACCCAGGAAUCUGUAUUUGUCACAAUCAGCUGUAGUGAUUUUGAUGAGCCCAAGUAUUCUCUAGGGUCCUACCAGCCUGGCACUCGGGCACCCUCUUGCUCCAUGGGUGAAAGCUCGAGAGAUAAUAGAGAGAUAAUAGGCUGGAACAGAAUUUCAGUGGAAGGGUGGGGAGGGAGGCAGAGCUUCUCAGGCACAGGGAUGUGCAGCUGGGAGAGGUGCAAUGACCGAACCUUUUUUACCUAUUCUCUGAGUCCUUGUUGGUUUUUAUUGCUAACGUCAUAUGAGAUUGUUACAUUGUCUUGGCUGUGCCUGUGUGUCACAUAUUAUGCUUUCUCACCUAACCCCAGUAAAAUCCCACCUUCAUUGAUCAAAACAGGUUGUUAUCAUAUGGACGCUCAAAAUAUUUUUAUGCACCUUCUCAGUCUGCAGAGAAUUCCACUGCAAACAGCUUAUAAGGUCCAUGUGUUUGGCUGUAGGUUCUUCCUCAAACUGGCUGCUUCGUAGACAAGCAGGUGCCUCGGGGACUGUGUCUUCACAUAAGUCAUGGUCUGUUUUCCAUGGGGAGGCUGCAAGAGCUAGGGGGACAGAGGUGACAAUGCAGAAGAUGGAACAAAGUAACAGCACAAUGGGAGCAUGCAGAGGCCCGGGGAUAGGUCUGGGUGUUAGGAGGACAACCUGGCCCCACUGGCACUCUGAAGGACUGCGUUCCCCAUUGCAUGAGGGAAGAAACUGAGGGUGGAGAGGCUCCAGGACAGAGCAGGAUGGUGCUGGUGUUGAACUCUGAGACGACGUGACUACAAUGCCUGUGCCCUUUGCUGGGAGGCUAAUCAGAAUCCAGGAACGAGAGGCUGGGCAGAAACCAGGCCAGGGUGCAUCCCCCACGGCAGGCUGGAGUUGCUGAUGGGAGGAGAGGACUCCAUGGCAGGUGAGAAAAUACCACCCAGGACCUGACUGAGACCCCAUCCGGCAUCAGUCCACGUGAACCCAGUGUCUGCAGGGAAAUUUUACAGUCAAAACCUGUGCAGUCUGCUAUGAACCAAGGAAUAAGGAGGCUGCUGGAAAAGCCAUCAUUUUGCUGGGCUAUUGAUGUUGGUGAGAGUUGAUCACAGUUUGAAAGGUGCAGAAGGCCAUGCCUGGCAAAGAGACAGAUGGGAGACCUCUCUGGUUGGGGCGAGAAUGCUGUGUGGGAUGGCUCAGGGGUGGAGGUAGCGAGCCUGUGCUUGAGCGGGGCCAACCGAGAGUCAAAUCCCGGGCUGCCGCGUGUCGAGUGCGGUGGCCAUGGGUCCAUCCAUGACUUCUCUGAGUCCCUAGUCCCCUACCCGUAAAAACGGAAGCAAUAACACAGACUUCUUAGGUUGUUUUUUUGAGACCUGAGAUAGACCACAUGUGUAAGGCAUUCAGCACAGUGCUUGACUUGUGUAGGGCUCCCAAAGCUGAGCUAUAAUUGGGUAAUUGCUGAUGGUGCUCAGAUUCCAAGGUGAAAGGAGAAGAGACACAGGGAUGCUGAGGGGGAGUUGAGGAGAGGUUGCUGCACAGUCCAAGAGGACCAUAAACAACAUCACAGAGGAGGCACAUGAGGGCUGCCUCACACUCAGCAGAAAGGCCAGAGUGAGGGCGUGCAGCUGGCUCGCAGAGGUGGGCUUUCAAAUCCCAGAGGAAUGGGCUGACUGCACUGCCCAGGCUGUGGUUGCUCCACACUGAGGACUUGGGAUACCCACCUGCCUCAGCUUCUUGGAUGAUCUCCAGAAUGCCAGGCAGCCAGACGUGAGGUCAUGCAUUUACUGUAGGGAGCUGUGCAGCUGGGUGAGGGGAGGGGGCUACCAGGCAGAGGCUCUGCCUGCCUCAAAGUGCUCCAGAGGGGCUGGGUGGGCCCCAAAGUGUUCAGAGGGACUUGAUCAGAGGCCCUCAAGCAAAGCAUGCCUUAGGUGUAGGGUCAGGGGAAAGGGCCCAGCCUCUCUGCCCUCCCAUCUCCAGCCCUGCUUCCAUCUCAUGGGCCUGGGCCACGUGGCCCUUCUAAAUGAAGCUCCUGAGCUAGGUGGAUGUUGGUGCAGACACAACCGACCGGUCUGCCAUGCAUGUGUGAGAACACAGGCUGCUCCAGCGGCCUUGCAGACACCCACCCAGCACCUCAGGCAAUGGAAACCCCCCAGGAAAUGGCCUUGUGUGGGAAGGAGGGCACGCCCCCAACCCUGGACACAACCUCCAGGGUUGAGAGGAGAGGCGGGACCAGGGAAAGGCUGCCCCAGCAGAUUAGGCUUUGAGACAAGGUAAAUGAAGUCAGGGUCACAGAAGGGCUUCUCACCCAACCCUCUCACUUCACAAGUGGGGAAACCGGCCCAGAGAGGGCAAGUAAACAAACAGCGUAAGGAGUUUGUGGUUGUGGAAGGUUGUGAAAUGGCCCCUCAAAAGAUAUUCCCAUUCUAAUACCUGGAACUUGUCAGUGUUACCUUACAUGAGGGGAAAACAGGAGUUUUUGGCAAUGUGAGCAGAUGAAGAAUCUUGUGAUGGGAAGAUUAUCCUGCGGUAUCUAGGUGGGCUGUAAAUACAGUCACAUGCAUCGUUAUAAUCAGACGACAAAGAGAGAUCUGAAAACACACAGAGGAGGCCCCAGUGUGGAGACCAGUAGAGGGAGGCUUGAGAACACGGGCCUUGAACAUCGGAGUUGGUGUGGCCAUAGCCACCGGACCCUGGAAGAGGCGCGUAACAGAUUCUCCCCGCCAGCCCCUGAGUGAGUGCAGCUCUGCCAACUCUUGAUGUUGGCCCAGGGAAACUGUUUUCAGACUUCUGGCCCCCACAACUGCGAGAGAAUAAAUUACGUUGUUUUAAGCUACUAAGGUUUUAGUAAUUUAUUACGGCAGCCACAGGAAACUAAUACAGUGUUUUCCCUGGGCCCGGCCCGGCCUUGGAACUGUGUCGUCCUAUCGGUACCCUGGACCCAUAAGAGGGAGGGAUGGCAGGGGCAGAGAAGGCAGGGACUCCAUUUUCCAUCACAAGCUGUCUCCACCAGCCUCGCUGAGGGAUGGUGAUGGAGAUGUACCAUGUC